CACAAGCCAGGGUCUUUACUUCCGCACGGCGCUAUAGCAAAGAUAGCUGUAGAUUGCUGUAGCGCCGUGCGGAAGUAAAGACCCUGGCUUGCGGGGUUG
Molecule: non-coding RNA, 99 nt
Organism: Paramuricea clavata
Lineage: Eukaryota; Metazoa; Cnidaria; Anthozoa; Malacalcyonacea; Plexauridae
Source: the annotation of a GenBank genome assembly